Molecule: long non-coding RNA, 588 nt
Organism: Daphnia pulicaria
Lineage: Eukaryota; Metazoa; Arthropoda; Branchiopoda; Diplostraca; Daphniidae
Exons: 4
Source: RefSeq, a predicted model, not a curated record
GAAAACCUACCCAUUUAUUCCCAGGAUGCCUUUUAGCUCUUCCGUGCUGAGUAACCCCUUAACCUCAUUCUGGAGUUUAGCUAGUAGAAAGCACUGCUUCCCAGUUCUCGCGAAAGUUCGUUUUACGCGGCUGUUUCGCGUUUGAGCCGUCGCCGUUUAGUAACACCCAGAAAAUUCGUCUGCUGUGCUAAAGUAAACAAAUCAUUAAAGUCGUGUCGGCUCGAUCUCGAAGCCGUUUGAAGCGUUAGUUGGCCACAGAGUAAGUCAUUGACGUAGCCAAAAUUCAUAACGAUUGCGUUCGUUUUUCGUUUGAGGCCAUUCCCUGCAAGCUACGGUCGAGGAUGAAACCGCAAGUGUUUGUAGUUUUAUCCCUUUCUCUCCAUUCGUCAAGGAAUCUCUUCAGAUAACUGACUCUGCCAGACUCGACCAGCGGACACGGUUGUCAUUGUCGACAUGGCAGCCAUGAGCAGGAAAAUUCACAAGACAUUCAUCCUAGACUGUAGGAAGGAGAUGAAACACACAGAUCAACUGAUGCUUCUUGGUUUGAAUCUCGAGUUGAAGUGGAUCCUUUUAUACGGAGGGAACUGC